AGUGAACGCUGGCGGUAGGCCUAACACAUGCAAGUCGAACGGCAGCACGGUAAGAGCUUGCUCUUACGGGUGGCGAGUGGCGGACGGGUGAGGAAUACAUCGGAAUCUACUUUUUCGUGGGGGAUAACGUAGGGAAACUUACGCUAAUACCGCAUACGACCUACGGGUGAAAGCAGGGGAUCUUCGGACCUUGCGCGAUUGAAUGAGCCGAUGUCGGAUUAGCUAGUUGGCGGGGUAAAGGCCCACCAAGGCGACGAUCCGUAGCUGGUCUGAGAGGAUGAUCAGCCACACUGGAACUGAGACACGGUCCAGACUCCUACGGGAAGCAGCAGUGCGGAAUAUUGGACAAUGGGCGCAAGCCUGAUCCAGCCAUACCGCGUGGGUGAAGAAGGCCUUCGGGUUGUAAAGCCCUUUUGUUGGGAAAGAAAAGCAGCAGGUUAAUACCCCGCUGUUCUGACGGUACCCAAAGAAUAAGCACCGGCUAACUUCGUG
Molecule: ribosomal RNA, 492 nt
Filed under: uncultured bacterium
Lineage: Bacteria
Description: partial 16S ribosomal RNA
Rfam family: Bacterial small subunit ribosomal RNA
Source: RNAcentral